UGUGAGCUCGAUGAGUAGGGCGGGACACGUGGUAUCCUGUCUGAAUAUGGGGGGACCAUCCUCCAAGGCUAAAUACUCCUGACUGACCGAUAGUGAACCAGUACCGUGAGGGAAAGGCGAAAAGAACCCCGGCGAGGGGAGUGAAAAAGAACCUGAAACCGUGUACGUACAAGCAGUGGGAGCACGCUUAGGCGUGUGACUGCGUACCUUUUGUAUAAUGGGUCAGCGACUUAUAUUCUGUAGCAAGGUUAACCGAAUAGGGGAGCCGAAGGGAAACCGAGUCUUAACUGGGCGUUAAGUUGCAGGGUAUAGACCCGAAACCCGGUGAUCUAGCCAUGGGCAGGUUGAAGGUUGGGUAACACUAACUGGAGGACCGAACCGACUAAUGUUGAAAAAUUAGCGGAUGACUUGUGGCUGGGGGUGAAAGGCCAAUCAAACCGGGAGAUAGCUGGUUCUCCCCGAAAGCUAUUUAGGUAGCGCCUCGUGAACUCAUCUCCGGGGGUAGAGCACUGUUUCGGCAAGGGGGUCAUCCCGACUUACCAACCCGAUGCAAACUGCGAAUACCGGAGAAUGUUAUCACGGGAGACACACGGCGGGUGCUAACGUCCGUCGUGAAGAGGGAAACAACCCAGACCGCCAGCUAAGGUCCCAAAGUCAUGGUUAAGUGGGAAACGAUGUGGGAAGGCCCAGACAGCCAGGAUGUUGGCUUAGAAGCAGCCAUCAUUUAAAGAAAGCGUAAUAGCUCACUGGUCGAGUCGGCCUGCGCGGAAGAUGUAACGGGGCUAAACCAUGCACCGAAGCUGCGGCAGCGACACUGAUGUGUUGUUGGGUAGGGGAGCGUUCUGUAAGCCUGUGAAGGUGUGCUGUGAGGCAUGCUGGAGGUAUCAGAAGUGCGAAUGCUGACAUAAGUAACGAUAAAGCGGGUGAAAAGCCCGCUCGCCGGAAGACCAAGGGUUCCUGUCCAACGUUAAUCGGGGCAGGGUGAGUCGACCCCUAAGGCGAGGCCGAAAGGCGUAGUCGAUGGGAAACAGGUUAAUAUUCCUGUACUUGGUGUUACUGCGAAGGGGGGACGGAGAAGGCUAUGUUGGCCGGGCGACGGUUGUCCCGGUUUAAGCGUGUAGGCUGGUUUUCCAGGCAAAUCCGGAAAAUCAAGGCUGAGGCGUGAUGACGAGGCACUACGGUGCUGAAGCAACAAAUGCCCUGCUUCCAGGAAAAGCCUCUAAGCAUCAGGUAACAUCAAAUCGUACCCCAAACCGACACAGGUGGUCAGGUAGAGAAUACCAAGGCGCUUGAGAGAACUCGGGUGAAGGAACUAGGCAAAAUGGUGCCGUAACUUCGGGAGAAGGCACGCUGAUAUGUAGGUGAAGUCCCUUGCGGAUGGAGCUGAAAUCAGUCGAAGAUACCAGCUGGCUGCAACUGUUUAUUAAAAACACAGCACUGUGCAAACACGAAAGUGGACGUAUACGGUGUGACGCCUGCCCGGUGCCGGAAGGUUAAUUGAUGGGGUCAGCGCAAGCGAAGCUCUUGAUCGAAGCCCCGGUAAACGGCGGCCGUAACUAUAACGGUCCUAAGGUAGCGAAAUUCCUUGUCGGGUAAGUUCCGACCUGCACGAAUGGCGUAAUGAUGGCCAGGCUGUCUCCACCCGAGACUCAGUGAAAUUGAACUCGCUGUGAAGAUGCAGUGUACCCGCGGCAAGACGGAAAGACCCCGUGAACCUUUACUAUAGCUUGACACUGAACAUUGAGCCUUGAUGUGUAGGAUAGGUGGGAGGCUUUGAAGUGUGGACGCCAGUCUGCAUGGAGCCGACCUUGAAAUACCACCCUUUAAUGUUUGAUGUUCUAACGUUGACCCGUGAUCCGGGUUGCGGACAGUGUCUGGUGGGUAGUUUGACUGGGGCGGUCUCCUCCUAAAGAGUAACGGAGGAGCACGAAGGUUGGCUAAUCCUGGUCGGACAUCAGGAGGUUAGUGCAAUGGCAUAAGCCAGCUUGACUGCGAGCGUGACGGCGCGAGCAGGUGCGAAAGCAGGUCAUAGUGAUCCGGUGGUUCUGAAUGGAAGGGCCAUCGCUCAACGGAUAAAAGGUACUCCGGGGAUAACAGGCUGAUACCGCCCAAGAGUUCAUAUCGACGGCGGUGUUUGGCACCUCGAUGUCGGCUCAUCACAUCCUGGGGCUGAAGUAGGUCCCAAGGGUAUGGCUGUUCGCCAUUUAAAGUGGUACGCGAGCUGGGUUUAGAACGUCGUGAGACAGUUCGGUCCCUAUCUGCCGUGGGCGCUGGAGAACUGAGGGGGGCUGCUCCUAGUACGAGAGGACCGGAGUGGACGCAUCACUGGUGUUCGGGUUGUCAUGCCAAUGGCACUGCCCGGUAGCUAAAUGCGGAAGAGAUAAGUGCUGAAAGCAUCUAAGCACGAAACUUGCCCCGAGAUGAGUUCUCCCUGACCCUUUAAGGGUCCUGAAGGAACGUUGAAGACGACGACGUUGAUAGGCCGGGUGUGUAAGCGCAGCGAUGCGUUGAGCUAACCGGUACUAAUGAACCGUGAGGCUUAACCUUACAACGCCGAAG
This 2559-nucleotide ribosomal RNA is filed under the name Escherichia coli. RNAcentral's name for it is "partial 23S ribosomal RNA". It matches the Rfam family "Bacterial large subunit ribosomal RNA", at positions 398 to 2925 of the family's 2925-position model. The record is from RNAcentral. Lineage: Bacteria; Pseudomonadati; Pseudomonadota; Gammaproteobacteria; Enterobacterales; Enterobacteriaceae.